CAGCAGCCACGGUAAUACGUAGGUGGCAAGCGUUGUCCGGAAUUAUUGGGCGUAAAGGGCUCGCAGGCGGUUUCUUAAGUCUGAUGUGAAAGCCCCCGGCUCAACCGGGGAGGGUCAUUGGAAACUGGGAAACUUGAGUGCAGAAGAGGAGAGUGGAAUUCCACGUGUAGCGGUGAAAUGCGUAGAGAUGUGGAGGAACACCAGUGGCGAAGGCGACUCUCUGGUCUGUAACUGACGCUGAGGAGCGAAAGCGUGGGGAGCAAAUGGGAUUAGAUACCCGAGUAGUCCCUGUCUCUUAUAA
Molecule: ribosomal RNA, 301 nt
Filed under: uncultured bacterium
Lineage: Bacteria
Description: partial 16S ribosomal RNA
Rfam family: Bacterial small subunit ribosomal RNA
Source: RNAcentral